RNA transcript from Amaranthus tricolor (Joseph's coat), 4041 nucleotides. RefSeq lists it as uncharacterized. The record is from RefSeq and is a predicted model, not a curated record. The transcript is spliced from 2 exons. Lineage: Eukaryota; Viridiplantae; Streptophyta; Magnoliopsida; Caryophyllales; Amaranthaceae.
UUGGGAAUAGACUCCCUCAAAACUCGAUUCUUCUUUCUUUCUCUUCCAUUGCGUUCUUCUCUUUUCUUUCAGUUUAUCACUGGAACAAACAAUAAUUUUUUGUUACUAAAGAAAAUCUAGAAAGAUGUUGCCAAUGUGUCGUUUGGUCUAUUAUGAAUAUCCUGAUUGGUCUUCUGUUUCUGCUACGAUUCAGCGAGCUUCUUGUUGGUCCUGAUUGGUCUAUGAAUAUGGAUAUAUGCGAGUUUUGUAAUUCUUAUCACUGAAAACCUCUAGAUUGUGGUGUUUUUCUUAAAUUUAUGGAGCAUAAUGGUAAUACGCUAUCAUCUUUGUGCUGUGUAAAAUCAGUAAGUGAAUCUAGAAGAAUUGAUUUAUGGAGAAAUACCUCUUUGAAGGCAACUGAAAAUGAGUCAAGUGAGAGUGAAGAUAACAGAGAACCUAAAGAUGCUAUUCAGGCUACCAUUGACAAGAGCAGUAAGGUUUUAGCGAUGUAUAAAGAGCUUCUUAAACAGGUAAAUGGUUUCGCAUUAGCUUCUGUAUUUGUUUCUGUUUCAGCUGAUUUCAAGUUCAACUGUUCGCAAUAGGUCUUUAUUUUGGUAUUUAGCUAAUUUGCAAUGUUUCUGCAUUUAAUUUUAUGUAGCUUGAUUAGUAAAAUAUGAUGAAUGUUUGCUUGUGAAUGAAUUGUGUACUUCCGCAUUUGGUUUUGUGCCCCAAAAAUUUAUGUGAUUAGGGGAAAUGGAGUUUAAUUUUAUUGUUUAGAUGAUAGAAAAUUGAAACUAAUGGAGAAGAAUAAUCUAAGUGGACAACUAAUCUGUUGGUUGGUUCAUGUUGUUGACCCAAGACUUUGGCGUUGUUGUGUGACGGGGAUUUGAGAACGUGAGUACGUGGCUAGAACUAAUUUACAAUCAGCCUACCUUUCCAAUUUUUUUGUGUUUCUCUGUAUGUUAAGAUUAGUUAGAGAUUGGAAGAUUGCAAUAAUUAAUGUAAUAAGUAGGUUGCAGUAUGAUAUAUUGAUAUCCAAUAUAUAUUAUAAUGUUCUGUAGUGUAUGUGAAUUGUUAAGUACCUUAGUUUUAUAAAGUCUUGUUGGGUAAUACAAGUAGUAUGAAAUCGAAUCACGAUAAUUUGCUCUUCUUGGCAGGGUAAUCAGCAUCCCUCUCUGUUUUUGUUUUGCUCCCUCCGUCUCACCAAAUUUGCCCCAUUUAUGUAUUUGUGAAAUUUGAAUAGUUAGUUUAUAAAUCAAAUUUAUCCCUUUGCGUUUUCAUAUGGUGUUAUCAGAUGGUUGAACCAUUUACUGCUCAUUAUAUCUUUGCUUAAGGAGUUGCAAGACUCUUCUCAUUUGCGAAUUGGAUUAUUAUGGUAAGUAAUAAGGACAAAAAAUAAACAAUCACUAUUUUAGUAAAAAUUGUACUAAAGAACCAAAAAAAAUACUCAUAUAUAUUUAUAUCCCACAAUGUAUUAUUUAAGUGAAAAAAAGUUUUUAUCAUAAUUUUAAAAUGUCUCCAUAUGGUUUUGUUUCUUGAUUUAAUAGAAACGAUGAACUCAGAUUGGUGAGAAACUUGGGAUAAUGGAGGUUGAGUACCGCCCCAAGUGAGUAGCGUGAGUAUUUUUCUCUUGAAGAAUCUUAAUUUACAGUUAUAUCUCAUAUGUACUUUGACAUGCGUUUUGGCAUCAAACAUAUAUGUCCCAAAGUCCAAUGUUACAUGUAAUAGGGUACUUAAAAAACUAAAGAAAACAAAGGCUUUAACUAUGUUUUGGAGUAGAAUGAACUUUAUAUAAUCAUUAAUGAUGAUUGAUAUCUGUCUAGGGGAACACAACCAUUGUUCUGGGAUUUCUGGUUUUUCCUUUGUUUUUGUUUAUGUGGCUGACAGGGAGAACCGUAAACAUUAGCUUGGUAUUUUUCAAUAUUGGAGAAUCUUGUAAUUGAAUGUAAGAUAAACUAAUGGUUGAAAAAUGAUAAAAAUGUAUUGUAGCUUUAUCCAAACACAUACUAAUUGAAUACUGCCUUACUGCUUUCGCAACCAAAUAAAGAGCCGAACUAACUGAUUAUUGGAUUUACAGGACAAUUGCUUUGUGAUUUUUGUACCAUGAUCCUUAGUGUCAUUUAUCUUUGCUGAAUUUACGUUGUUAUUCGAGAAUAACAAUUAUUUCUUCCCAUUGAUGACUUGAUUUGUUCUAUAUUUUAGCAAAACAUGAGUUAGAAAGACUUAUAUAUGUGCAGUUAAUGUUUACACUUGCUAUGUACUGAUAUUCAAAGAGUUUUGUUGAGAUGGGCAUUAAGGUUUUGUUUUUGCUUUAUUAUAUUGUUAAGUUUUUAUUUUAAAGAAUCAACCAUUCAUUUGGUGGUUUGAGAGAAAGAGGCUACGGGAGGUUUACAUUUGCACCAAAUUUACUCGAAUUGGCUCUUAAGUAUAGGUGAUGAAAACAACUUUGCAUAUUCUUGUGGAAGAUAUUGGAAGUUAAGAAAUAAACACAUGUAUGCUUUUAGCUUAUCCUAAAUUUGAAGGUGGGUUGAUUAGUUUUUCCAUUGGAAGUCAAAUAUGAUCCAUUAUAGAGGAAUUUAAGUGCGUAUCUCACAAUAUGUGUCAUACUUGGUGUGCUCCCAUUCAUACUUGGUGCUCUUCGUGUUUGUUGUGUGAUAGGAUCUGGUGUUAUUUGUCUCCCCCUGCUGGUGUGUGUGAUCUAUUAUUGUUGUUCUGUGCUAAGUUUCUGAUCUGAUCAAUCCCUUCUCCUCUACUGGUGUGUGUGAUUGUCGUCUCAUCCCACUACUGGUGUGUGAGCUAUGUUCUGAUAUGAUCAGUCUCUUUUCCCUGCUUGAUCUCAUGGUUGUUGGUAUGUUCUUUAUGCUGUCUCCCUAUUAGCUACUCUCAUUUUGGGUACUUUGAUCUCACUAUUGGUUUUAGAGGGUGCUGAUUAGUUGCAACAUGCUGUUAGUAAAAUGAGUUCACCAAAAAGAUGAGGAACAAACUGGCUCCAGUGCUUUAGACAAAAGGAUUCAUUGGCAUUGUCCGAUUGUAAUGGAUAUUUUACCAUUGUUUAGGAUAUUUGCUUGGUGGGUUGUAUAGAAAAAACUAUACUUCUUAUGUAUAUAUCUUUUUGAAUUUGUACAUGUAGUUUUAGAUGACUCAUAUAAAAAAGAUUAUUGAGCAUUCAAACUUGAAAUCUAAGUUUGAUACAUACAAACUUUAUUUUAACUGAACCUAAACUUUUAUAAUAGUUUCCAAUAAUUAACUUAAUAUUGAGUUUGAUUUUACAAUUUCCACUUCCAGAAAAUUUAUUUCCUCAGCUACAUUGUAAAGUAGAUUUAAUUAAAUACUCUAAUUUUGCAAUUUUAAUUUGAUUAUACUUUAAUUCUUAAAGGUUAAGUUUUUCCAUUAAAAUUUAAUUUCAAAUAAAAUAAGAUUUCUUGACCAACUAGUAACUUAGAAGUAUUUGGUAAUAUUUUUCCCAUUCUUAUGUCCUUUAUAAAUCCAAUUAUUACUAUGAUUAUUAUGAAGCUAUCAAUUUUUACCUGGCUAGCUCGUUUCAUAUGCUCCCAUGUGAUCUUUUCCCUUUUUAUAUAAUGGUUAUCAAAGCAAAUAAGAUAUUUGAUUAGUAUAAGAGUGAGUAAGUGCAUAAUUAAAUUGUAAAAAUUAAUUAUGGAAGUGCCGCAAUGACAAGUACUAUUUUGUUUUGAUAUUUUAUUUGAAAAAUAACCCAAAUAAUCUCACCGGUAUCCAUUUUUAUGCAAUAAUUUCACAUGUUAAAUACUCUCGAAUAAUUUUAAUUUUAGAGGAUGUUUUUCUAUAAUAUCCCUAGUUUAAAAUAACCUUCCAUUGUAUUGAGAUUACUUAAGUCAAUUAUAAUUUAUAUUAGCUAGUAAUGAAAAUAUGUAGUUUGUUAAGUGCAAUUAUUUGCGUGAUUAUUUAUAUGCUCCUUUUCAGGUGUUUAGUGGUGUUUUUGGGUCAUUUUUAGCUUAUUUGUUCCAAUUGGUAUGUUGUGGCCAAUUCAUGAGAAAAUGAGUUAAUCAUGACAAAUUUGAGUUAUUGUUAUGAAUUUUAUAGCUA